UAUAAACUUCAUUUGUCAAAUUAAGCCAAUUUUGAGGUGUUUUUUUGUUAAUUUACUUAAUCCAUUUUCAACAUUAAAUAUGAUAAAUGCUACUUGCAUAUUUAAAAUUAUUUUCUAAUUCAUAUAAUUUGAUCUUGGGACUUUCAGUGGCAGAUCCAGAAAUUUUCAUAAGAGGGGGCCCACUGACUGACCUAAGAGGGGGCCCGCUACAGUCACGCUUCAGUGAUACCCUAUAUAAGCAACCAAUUUUUUU
This 253-nucleotide long non-coding RNA is filed under the name Mytilus galloprovincialis (Mediterranean mussel). The record is from RNAcentral. Lineage: Eukaryota; Metazoa; Mollusca; Bivalvia; Mytilida; Mytilidae.